GUUCAUCUGACGAGUCCCAAAUAGGACGAAACGCGCGUCCUGGAU
Molecule: non-coding RNA, 45 nt
Filed under: Schistosoma mattheei
Lineage: Eukaryota; Metazoa; Platyhelminthes; Trematoda; Strigeidida; Schistosomatidae
Source: RNAcentral